AAUAAAUGAAUUUAUGAGUUUUCAGAUAGAAUUUUUGAGUCUUCGUCUUAUUUGAAAAGUUAUGAUUAAUAUUUUUGUUAUUAUUAUAUGAUAAAACAUGAACAAUACUUUACAUGUGACUAAUUUUUUAAAAUUUUUUAAUAAAUUUUUCAAAUAAGACGGAUGGUCAAACGGUCUAUACAUAAAACUCAGA
RNAcentral lists this microRNA precursor (193 nucleotides) under Oryza brachyantha (malo sina). RNAcentral's name for it is "MIR812 microRNA precursor family". It matches the Rfam family "MIR812 microRNA precursor family". Lineage: Eukaryota; Viridiplantae; Streptophyta; Magnoliopsida; Poales; Poaceae. The record is from Rfam by way of RNAcentral.